AGAACACCUUCAAACAUGUUCAGCAACCUACUACAACAGCGAUGGAAUCCCCAAAUUUCUUCUACACAAGUUUGUGUUGCAAAUCCCUCUUGCAAUUGGGUACGAUCCAGUUUCUUUCUCAUCUCCUCACCAUUUAUUUUCAAACUUUAAACAGCUGAUUUGAAAAGAAAAAAAAAAGAAUGUAACGCAUAAAUUUGAUCUCUCUCUACCCUAAUUCACAAUUUCCUGCUCCUCACCACUUCUCUCGCGUUCCCCAAUUUCUGUGCGGUGGAAAUGACGGUGGUCGCUUGCGGAGAAGAUAGAAGCACUCGCAGGUUAGUUUCCCUGUUUUUACUUGAAUAUUCAUUCAUUGUGUUCCAUAUUCCUUUUAUUCAUUGCUUAGGUUAGUUUCCUCAUCGUGUUUAUUCAUACAAAUAUGCAUACAAUCCUAGCUUUGUUAUCUAAAUCGAUCAAACUUGUUGGGUUACACAAAUAUAAUAAUAUACCCAAUGUCUAUGGAUACUCAUUCAUCACCGACACAACUACAAUGACAAUAAUAUUUAUAAAAUGUCACAUUAAAAUCCAAAGCAUUCAGCAACAAGGAAACAUUGUUACAUAUGUUGUUCAAACAAAAUUAUUACCGACAAUAAAUGACUCAAAACAUACUGAAUAGUUAACUGGGUCUAACAUUCAUCAAUGAAAAGAUUGAUAGCCACUUAAAUGUUGUUUGACUUACCAUCAUCAUUCAGUUGAUGCUUGACGGAUGCAUGUUCUGAUCUUUUUUUCUCCUUGAGCUUCUCAACAAGCUCUUGCAUUUGUUUGAGCUUGACCAAUCUAUCUUCCAACUUCUUUCUAUCCUCCAACGGAUGAUCCACUUCAGCCACUUUGUUUGCUUCUAAUAAUUUUGCAGUCAUGCGAGGAGAUGCCCAAACUGUAGGUAUAGUCUCACCUGGACCUUUGGUAAGAAUGCAGACUUCAACACCAUGUUCGGUACUCAGCGCGUCGAUAUCCUCCAACAACUUUGGUAUUAUUCUCUUGAAUCUUUUCUCUCCCCGUGUCUCAUCCAAGUUAGGGGAAGCCAUGAACCCAAGUGUUUAUCCUUUAAUACAAAAAUAUAUAUAUAUAUAUAUGAGCCUAACAAAAUUACGAACAAACAAAAUUCCAAAAGUGAAAUCGAACAAACAAAAUUCCAAAAGUGAAAUCGAACAAACAAAAUCAUGAAAAUGAAAUCGAACAAACGAAAUUCCAAAAGUGAAAUCAAACAUAUACUAAACAAAAAAAAUAAAUCCUAGAUGGUGCAUCACAAACAAACAAUCGCAAAUGAACAUAAAUCAAACUAUGAAUCUAGGGAUUAGGGUUAGCCGAUUAGGAUCUUAUUAAAAGGAAGAAGAUCACGAAUAAAUAAUGAGAAUUAUGAAGGAAAAGGAAGAGGAACUAGAUUAAGAAAAACAACCUGGUUGAAAAACGAGAAAUGAAUGCGGAUCGAAAACGAGAGGUUGAGUGUGCGUGCGGCGAAUAGAGGUGGGGCUCAGAUUGGUUGCGUAUCAAUCAUGGUUAAGAGAAUAAGAGGAAAUUGAGUCGAUGAUGGGCCUGAAGUGCCAAGUGGGUUGGGCCCUCAAAGACAAAAUUUCAUUACGAAUCGAAGGGUAGAAAUAACAACUAAGGGAGGUACGAAUAGAAAGAAGAGAAUUAAAUUAUGAAAAUUGGGCCGCCAAAUUUUGAGGCCCGGUGCUACGGACGUGGUUGUGCACCCUUAGGGUCGACCCUGUCUAUGGUUAAUGUCUUGUUAAAUAGCAGCGCCAUAGCAAAACAGAAUUUGGACAAAUCAUUAAUGUUCCGUGAUACACUAUUUAUUACAAAAUAUUGUCAAAUAUCAACUACAAUGACGUAGCAUUAUUGCGUUGCGGAGAUUGAACAAACUGCUAUUUUCGCAGUCCGCAAUUGACAACACCGGGUUGAACAUGCCGCCUAGAAUAAUACUUUUAAUUAGUCAGAUCCUCGUUAUAAUGCUUGAGGGUUCAUGGCUGCCACUAAUUUGGAUGAGAAAUGGAGAGAGAGAAGAUUCAAGAGAAUAUUACCAAAGUUGUUGGAGGAUAUCGACACGUUGAGUGCCCAAUGUGGUGUUGAGGCCUGCGUAAUUACCAAAUGCCCACGUGAUACGAGGCCUACAAUUUGGGCAUCUCCUGCCAUGACUGAAAAAUUCUUGGAAGCAAACAAAGAGGUUGAAGUGGAUCAUCUGUUGAAGAAGAAAAGGAGAUUGGAAGAUAAAUUUGUCAAGCUCAAACAACUACAAGAGCUUGAUGAGAAGUUGAAGGAGAAAAGGAGAUAGGAAGAUGUAUCUGUCAAGCAUCAAAUAAAUGAUGAUGGUAAGUCUGACAACAUUUAAGUGGAUAUCUAUCUUUUUAUUGGUGAAUGCUAGAACUAAUUAACCUUUCAGUAUGUUUUGAGUCAUUUAUUCUAUCAGUAAUGAUUUUGUUUGAACAACAUAUGUAAUA
RNAcentral lists this long non-coding RNA (2474 nucleotides) under Trifolium pratense (red clover). RNAcentral's name for it is "long non-coding RNA (TPRA_LNC012101)". Lineage: Eukaryota; Viridiplantae; Streptophyta; Magnoliopsida; Fabales; Fabaceae. The record is from RNAcentral.